UAGGGAAUCUUCGGCAAUGGACGAAAGUCUGACCGAGCAACGCCGCGUGAGUGAAGAAGGUUUUCGGAUCGUAAAACUCUGUUGUUAGAGAAGAACAAGGACGUUAGUAACUGAACGUCCCCUGACGGUAUCUAACCAGAAAGCCACGGCUAACUACGUGCCAGCAGCCGCGGUAAUACGUAGGUGGCAAGCGUUGUCCGGAUUUAUUGGGCGUAAAGCGAGCGCAGGCGGUUUCUUAAGUCUGAUGUGAAAGCCCCCGGCUCAACCGGGGAGGGUCAUUGGAAACUGGGAGACUUGAGUGCAGAAGAGGAGAGUGGAAUCCCAUGUGUAGCGGUGAAAUGCGUAGAUAUAUGGGGGAACACCAGUGGCGAAGGCGGCUCUCUGGUCUGUAACUGACGCUGAGGCUCGAAAGCGUGGGGAGCAAACAGG
RNAcentral lists this ribosomal RNA (429 nucleotides) under Gemmatimonadota bacterium. Its description in RNAcentral is "Gemmatimonadetes bacterium partial 16S ribosomal RNA". It matches the Rfam family "Bacterial small subunit ribosomal RNA", at positions 355 to 776 of the family's 1533-position model. The record is from RNAcentral. Lineage: Bacteria; Pseudomonadati; Gemmatimonadota.